This 997-nucleotide ribosomal RNA is filed under the name uncultured bacterium. Its description in RNAcentral is "bacterial SSU rRNA". It matches the Rfam family "Bacterial small subunit ribosomal RNA", at positions 356 to 1376 of the family's 1533-position model. The record is from RNAcentral.
GGGGGAUAUUGCACAAUGGGGGAAACCCUGAUGCAGCAACGCCGCGUGAGGGAAGACGGUUUUCGGAUUGUAAACCUCUGUCCUCAGGGACGAUAAUGACGGUACCUGAGGAGGAAGCUCCGGCUAACUACGUGCCAGCAGCCGCGGUAAUACGUAGGGAGCAAGCGUUGUCCGGAUUUACUGGGUGUAAAGGGUGCGUAGGCGGCUUGGCAAGUCGGGCGUGAAAGCUAUGGGCUUAACCCAUAAAUUGCGUUCGAAACUGUUGAGCUUGAGUGAAGUAGAGGUAGGCGGAAUUCCCGGUGUAGCGGUGAAAUGCGUAGAGAUCGGGAGGAACACCAGUGGCGAAGGCGGCCUACUGGGCUUUAACUGACGCUGAGGCACGAAAGUGUGGGUAGCAAACAGGAUUAGAUACCCUGGUAGUCCACGCCCUAAACGAUGUCUACUAGUUGUUGGGGACGAUAGUCCUUGGUAACGCAGCUAACGCGUAAAGUAGACCGCCUGGGGAGUACGGUCGCAAGAUUAAAACUCAAAGGAAUUGACGGGGACCCGCACAAGCGGUGGAUGAUGUGGAUUAAUUCGAUGCAACGCGAAAAACCUUACCUAGCCUUGACAUGCCAGGAAGGCCUGAGAGAUCAGGCCGUGCCCGCAAGGGAAUCUGGACACAGGUGCUGCAUGGCUGUCGUCAGCUCGUGUCGUGAGAUGUUGGGUUAAGUCCCGCAACGAGCGCAACCCUUGUCAUUAGUUGCUACGAAAGGGCACUCUAAUGAGACUGCCGGUGACAAACCGGAGGAAGGUGGGGAUGACGUCAAGUCCUCAUGGCCCUUAUGGCUAGGGCCUCACACGUCAUACAAUGGUCGGAACAGAGGGAAGCGAAGCCGCGAGGUGGAGCGAAACCCAUAAAACUGUUCUCAGUUCGGACUGCAGUCUGCAACUCGACUGCACGAAGAUGGAAUCGCUAGUAAUCGCGAAUCAGCAUGUCGCGGUGAAUACGUUCUCG